UGUGUAAGAAAGGUAAUAGGUAUUAAGGAGGGCACUUGUGAUGAGCACUGAGUGUUGUAUGUAAGAGAUGUAUAAUUGAAUUCUACUUCUUAAAUUAAUAUUGUACUGCAUGUUAACUAAUUAAAAUUAAGAUUUUAAAAUUAAAAUGAAAUGAAAAUUCAUGCCUAUG
Long non-coding RNA from Herpailurus yagouaroundi (jaguarundi), 169 nucleotides. RefSeq lists it as uncharacterized. NCBI's taxonomy places the organism in Eukaryota, Metazoa, Chordata, Mammalia, Carnivora, Felidae. The record is from RefSeq and is a predicted model, not a curated record. The transcript has 3 exons.